RNAcentral lists this ribosomal RNA (507 nucleotides) under uncultured bacterium. RNAcentral's name for it is "bacterial SSU rRNA". It matches the Rfam family "Bacterial small subunit ribosomal RNA", at positions 28 to 496 of the family's 1533-position model. The record is from RNAcentral.
GACGAACGCUGGCGGCGUGCCUAAUACAUGCAAGUCGAACGCACUCUCGUUAGAUUGAAGAAGCUUGCUUCUGAUUGAUAACAUUUGAGUGAGUGGCGGACGGGUGAGUAACACGUGGGUAACCUGCCCUAAAGUGGGGGAUAACAUUUGGAAACAGAUGCUAAUACCGCAUAAAACCUAGCACCGCAUGGUGCAAGGUUGAAAGAUGGUUUCGGCUAUCACUUUAGGAUGGACCCGCGGUGCAUUAGUUAGUUGGUGAGGUAAAGGCUCACCAAGACCGUGAUGCAUAGCCGACCUGAGAGGGUAAUCGGCCACACUGGGACUGAGACACGGCCCAGACCCCUACGGGAGGCAGCAGUAGGGAAUCUUCCACAAUGGACGAAAGUCUGAUGGAGCAACGCCGCGUGAGUGAAGAAGGUUUUCGGAUCGUAAAACUCUGUUGUUGGAGAAGAACGUAUUUGAUAGUAACUGAUCAGGUAGUGACGGUAUCCAACCAGAAAGCCACGG